This is a long non-coding RNA of Catharus ustulatus (Swainson's thrush), 2128 nucleotides long. RefSeq lists it as uncharacterized. The record is from RefSeq and is a predicted model, not a curated record. The transcript is spliced from 2 exons. Lineage: Eukaryota; Metazoa; Chordata; Aves; Passeriformes; Turdidae.
UUGCUUGGUAAAAACGUCUUUUGUUUGAGGUGGAUUUAUCCUUUGCUCAGAGUCAUAAAAGCCCCUUCCAACUCACUUGCUCUUUGCCUUCUUAGCUACCCAGUAAGACUGGCUCAGCAAUUCUUUUCUUCUAUAUCAAAACCUGGUAUCAUUUCUAUUCCUUCUUCGGAGUCUACAUUCAAAGACCUCUCUGUUAUACACACAUAUCUGUGAGACCUUCCUGUGAAAUCCUUAUCCUUCUCAACAAAUAAUACCAUUAAUAGACUAAUACUAGCAAAAACAUGCGCAUACCUGUUGAAUGCCAGAUUGGACAGGGCUUUGACCAACCUGGUCUAGUGGAAGGUUCCCUGUCCAUGGCAGAGAGAUUGAAAGAAAAUAAUCUUUAAGGUCUCUUCCAGCCCAAACCAUGUAAUGACUCUCUGAUUCUGUGCACGUCUGUUAAGGUUCUUGAGCUCCCUUCUUAGAAAUACAAAGUUCAACCUGUGACCUAACACCACCUGGUCAACUAGACCAUGGCACUGCAGGGAUGAUGGCUCCACCACCUCCCUGUGCAGACCAUUCCAAUGGCCCAUCACUCUUUCUGUGAAGAAAUACUUCCUAAUGUCCAGCCUAACCCCCAACUCCAGUGCAGCUUAGGACUGCAUUGUCUUGUCCUGUUGCUGGUGCCUGGGACAAAGACACUGACCCCCAGAUGGCUCCACCCUCCUUUCAGGGAGUUGUGGAGAAUGACAAGGGCUCUCCUUAGCCUCCUUUUCUCCAGGCUAAACACCCUAAACUCCCUCAGCUGCUACUCAUAGCACAUGUGCUCCAGAUCCUUCACCAGCUCUGUUGCCCUUCCCUGGACACUCUCCAGCAUCUCAACAUCUUCCUUAAUUGAGGGGCCCGAAAAUGGGCACAGCACUCAAGGUAUGGACUUACCAGUGCUGAGAUCAGGGGAAGAAUGAACUCUCUGCUCCUGCUGGCCACACUAUUCCUGGCACAGACCAGGAUGCCAUUGUCCUUGGCCAUCUGGGGACACUGCUGGCUCUUAUUCAGUCUGGCACUGUCCCUUUCUGCUUGGGCACUGUCCAGCUACUCUGUCCCCAGCCUGUAAUGCUGCAGGGCGUUGUGGUGGGCAAAGUGCAGGACCUCACACUGGGACUUGUUAAACCUCCUGUCAUUGGGUUUGCCCAUCUAUCCAGCCUGAACAGGUCCCUCCCAGAGCUGUUCUACCUCCUGCAGAUCAGCACUUGCUCCUAUCUUGGUGUCAUCUGCACAUUUGCUGAUGGACUCAAUCCCCUGAUCCAGAACAUCAGUAAAGUUAUCGAACAGAACUGGGCCCAUCACUGAUUCCUGGGACACAACCAGUGACUGGACACCAACCAGAUGUGGUGCCAUUCACCACCACCACUCUCUUAACGCACAGAAGGGUGCACCUGUCAGUUGUGUAUCCAAGAUUAUAAAACUUCUUUCAUUUCACUUCACAAUUUAAGCAAGAACAUAAUUUACUUAUGUGGGGUAAGUGAAGGACCAGACCAUCAGACGCACCCGCAACUCACACACCCAACUAUCCAAGGAGAGAGAGAAGCCAUCAAGCAGCCCGGCACCGCCCAAGAUGCCAGCGAACCCAAAGGAGAAAGAAGCUCAACCAGGAUGGUUCGAGCCGUCGUUCAGUCGGUCCCCAUGGCUCACCACCCUAAUUUCUACCCUAAUAGGCCCACUCACCAUAAUCUUACUAACACUAAUCUUCAGGCCUUGCAUAUUAAACAAAUUGGUGUAGUUCGUUAAGAAGCGUUUAGAAAAAGUUAACAUUAUGUUUGUCAAACGCCAACAAUUACUUUGAGGCGUGCCUGUUACUAACAUGUUUACAAUUUUUAUACUAAUUCUACUAACCUUUGUAACCUUAUAACAUCCACAUUUUAUAUGUUUUUUACUAAUCAUGAAGAAGGGGGGAAAUGUGGAGAGUCAGGGACAUGCGUGCGGAAGAUAUCGGGCUGUACGGUUGGAGAGGGCCCCUUUCCCUCUGCAGUCGAAGCUGGGUGCCCCCUGCUCAGCAUCCAGCCAGACGUGAGCAGAAGGAAACGAUGCUGACUGCCCAAAUUAUAAAAACCCCUGUAACCCUUUAAUAAACGCCAUUUGCUGUCCACCA